UACGUAGGUGACCAGCGUUGUCCGGAUUUACUGGGCGUAAAGAGCGCGCAGGCGGUCGUUCAAGUCGAGUGUGAAAGCCCCCCGGCUCAACUGGGGAGGGUCAUUCGAUACUGAUCGACUUGAAGGCAGGAGAGGGAAGUGGAAUUCCCGGUGUAGUGGUGAAAUGCGAUAGAUAUCGGAAGGAAACACCAGUGGCGAAAGACG
This 204-nucleotide ribosomal RNA is filed under the name uncultured bacterium. RNAcentral's name for it is "partial 16S ribosomal RNA". It matches the Rfam family "Bacterial small subunit ribosomal RNA", at positions 524 to 724 of the family's 1533-position model. The record is from RNAcentral.